UUAUGUGUUAUGUGUUUAGGUUAUUCUGUGUAUAUAAAUAUAACAGUAUUAUACUAUGAUGAUAUUAUUAUAAUAUUGGAGAUCUAUAUUAUUAAUAUUAGGUCUUCGGGUAAAGUGAUAUAAAUUGCGUUGCGGUAAUCAACGGUUCAGGCAAGUUUGUUCUUACUUAACUCUAAUAAGAGUGUUUUAUUCAAGCUUAUGGUUAAUCAUUGCUGAUUGCCAUGAAAAUUGUACUCUGUACAUCUUGUAUGUAUAAGUCAGGUAUGAAAGGCUGAUCACCUUCAUUACCAGUUUGUUCAUGUUUAAAACUUGUUCAGUCAAAAGUUUGUUCGUGCUAAUUCUCAAUUAUAUUGAUGAAUUAUAGCCAGCUUAUUAUUCAUACUCUUCAAUCAUGAUAUAUCGUUAUAUUGUUGUAUUUAAACUUGCUGGGAAACUUUCAUGCUCACCCUUGCUAUAUCAUGAUAAAACAUUGCAGAUAAGGCAAAUGUGUUCGGAUACAGGAAAAG
This 506-nucleotide long non-coding RNA is filed under the name Panax ginseng (ginseng). Its description in RNAcentral is "long non-coding RNA (PGIN_LNC017058)". The record is from RNAcentral. Lineage: Eukaryota; Viridiplantae; Streptophyta; Magnoliopsida; Apiales; Araliaceae.